Unclassified non-coding RNA from Gorilla gorilla gorilla (western lowland gorilla), 102 nucleotides. It matches the Rfam family "Y RNA". From Rfam's summary of the family: Y RNAs are components of the Ro ribonucleoprotein particle (Ro RNP), in association with Ro60 and La proteins. NCBI's taxonomy places the organism in Eukaryota, Metazoa, Chordata, Mammalia, Primates, Hominidae. The record is from Ensembl.
GGCCACUCCAAGUGCAGUGGUGUUUACAGCUAAUUGAUCAUAAUCAGUUACAGAUUUAUUUGUUCCUUCUCCACUUCCACUGCUUCACUCGACAAACCUAUG